RNAcentral lists this ribosomal RNA (947 nucleotides) under Starmerella bacillaris. Its description in RNAcentral is "partial large subunit ribosomal RNA". It matches the Rfam family "Eukaryotic large subunit ribosomal RNA", at positions 71 to 1143 of the family's 3401-position model. Lineage: Eukaryota; Fungi; Ascomycota; Dipodascomycetes; Dipodascales; Trichomonascaceae. The record is from RNAcentral.
GGGAUUGCCCUAGUACGGCGAGUGAACAGGCAAGAGCUCAGAUUUGAAAGGCACUUUUGUGCCGUUGUAUUCUGAAGUUAGGGUCCUGAGAAACGAUGCUUAAGUCUUCUGGAAAGGAGCGCCAUGGAGGGUGAUAGCCCCGUCUAGCAUUGACCUCAUAUAGGAUCUUAACAUGGAGUCGAGUUGUUUGGGAAUGCAGCUCAAAUGGGUGGUAUGCUCCAUCUAAAGCUAAAUAUCUGCGAGAGACCGAUAGUAAACAAGUACUGUGAGGGAAAGAUGAAAAGAACUUUGAAAAGAGAGUGAAAAAGUACGUGAAAUUGUUGAAAUGGAAGGGUAGGCCGCUAACCAUGUAGAGCCGUGUUUGGGGGGAAGAUAAAUGCUGUAGAAUGUAGCUCCUCGGAGUAUUAUAGAUGCAGUUCAUAUUCCCACCCGAGCGCGAGGAUCUCAGGUUCUACUAAAUGGUGGUCUACCACCCGUCUUGAAACACGGACCAAGGAGUCUAUUGUCUGCGCGAGUAUUUGGGUGUCAAACCCAUAUGCGAAGUGAAAGCGAAAGGUUCUAACCUUCGGGUUCAGAAUCGGCCGACCGUUUAUAGAAGCGGAUUGAGUAGAGCGUGGAUGAUGGGACCCGAAAGAUGGUGAACUAUGCCUGAAUAGGGUGAAGCCAGAGGAAACUCUGGUGGAGGCUCGCAGCGGUUCUGACGUGCAAAUCGAUCGUCAAAUUUGGGUAUAGGGGCGAAAGACUAAUCGAACCAUCUAGUAGCUGGUUCCUGCCGAAGUUUCCCUCAGGAUAGCAGAAGCUCGUAUCAGUUUUAUGGGGUAAAGCGAAUGAUUAGAGGUAUUGGGACUGAAAUGGUCUUGACCUAUUCUCAACUUUGAUAUGUAAACGUCCUUGUUACUUAGUGAACUUGGACUCUUGAUGAAAACUUUAUGGCUUGUUUUUUUUAA